RNAcentral lists this ribosomal RNA (433 nucleotides) under uncultured bacterium. RNAcentral describes it as "partial 16S ribosomal RNA". It matches the Rfam family "Bacterial small subunit ribosomal RNA", at positions 29 to 507 of the family's 1533-position model. The record is from RNAcentral.
AGCGAACGCUGGCGGCAGGCCUAACACAUGCAAGUCGAACGAACUCUUCGGAGUUAGUGGCGGACGGGGGAGUAACACGUGGGAACGUGCCUUUUGGUUAGGAAUAACUCAGGGAAACUUGUGCUAAUACCGAAUGUGCCCUUCGGGGGAAAGAUUUAUCGCCAUUAGAGCGGCCCGCGUCUGAUUAGCUAGUUGGUGAGGUAACGGCUCACCAAGGCGACGAUCAGUAGCUGGUCUGUGAGGAUGACCAGCCACACUGGGAAUGAGACACGGACCAGACCCCUACGGGAGGGAGCAGUGGGGAAUCUUGCGGAAUGGGCGAAAGUCUGACGCCGCCAUGCCGCGUGAAUGAGGAAGGUCUUAGGAUUGUAAAAUUCUUUCACCGGGGACGAUAAUGACGGUAACCGGAGAAGAAGCCCCGGCUAACUUCGUG